Molecule: ribosomal RNA, 497 nt
Filed under: uncultured bacterium
Lineage: Bacteria
Description: partial 16S ribosomal RNA
Rfam family: Bacterial small subunit ribosomal RNA
Source: RNAcentral
GAUGAACGCUGGCGGCGUGCCUAAUACAUGCAAGUCGAGCGAACAGACGAGGAGCUUGCUCCUCUGACGUUAGCGGCGGACGGGUGAGUAACACGUGGAUAACCUACCUAUAAGACUGGGAUAACUUCGGGAAACCGGAGCUAAUACCGGAUAAUAUAUUGAACCGCAUGGUUCAAUAGUGAAAGACGGUUUUGCUGUCACUUAUAGAUGGAUCCGCGCCGCAUUAGCUAGUUGGUAAGGUAACGGCUUACCAAGGCAACGAUGCGUAGCCGACCUGAGAGGGGGAUCGGCCACAAUGGAACUGAGACACGGUCCAGACUCAUACGGGAGGCAGCAGUAGGGAAUCUUCCGCAAUGGGCGAAAGCCUGACGGAGCAAAGCCGCGUGAGUGAUGAAGGUCUUCGGAUCGUAAAACUCUGUUAUUAGGGAAGAACAAAUGUGUAAGUAACUAUGCACGUCUUGACGGUACCUAAUCAGAAAGCCACGGCUAACUACGUG